AUUGAACGCUGGCGGCAUGCUUUACACAUGCAAGUCGAACGGUAACAGGCCUUCGGGUGCUGACGAGUGGCGCACGGGUGAGUAAUGCAUCGGAACGUGCCCAGAGGUGGGGGAUAACGCAGCGAAAGCUGUGCUAAUACCGCACGUGAUCUGAGGAUGAAAGCGGGGGACCAAGCAGCAAUGUUUGGCCUUGCGCCUCUGGAGCGGCCGAUGUCAGAUUAGGUAGUUGGUGGGGUAAAGGCCUACCAAGCCGACGAUCUGUAGCUGGUCUGAGAGGACGACCAGCCACACUGGGACUGAGACACGGCCCAGACUCCUACGGGAGGCAGCAGUGGGGAAUUUUGGACAAUGGGCGCAAGCCUGAUCCAGCAAUGCCGUGUGCGGGAAGAAGGCCUUCGGGUUGUAAACCGCUUUUGUACGGAACGAAAAGGCUCUGGCUAAUACCUGGGGCUGAUGACGGUACCGUAAGAAUAAGCACCGGCUAACUACGUG
Molecule: ribosomal RNA, 492 nt
Filed under: uncultured bacterium
Lineage: Bacteria
Description: partial 16S ribosomal RNA
Rfam family: Bacterial small subunit ribosomal RNA
Source: RNAcentral